AUUGAACGCUGGCGGCAGGCCUAACACAUGCAAGUCGAACGAGUGGCGGACGGGUGAGUAAUGUCUGGGAAACUGCCUGAUGGAGGGGGAUAACUACGGGAAACGGUAGCUAAUACCGCAUACCAUCAGAUGUGCCCAGAGGGGAUUGGCGUGGUGGUGGGGUAACGGCUCACCAAGGGGACGUGCCCUAGCUGGUCUGAGAGGAUGACCAGGAACACUGGACCUGGGACACGGUCCAGACUCCUACGGGAGGCAGCAGUGGGGAGUAGUGCACAAUGGGCGCAAGCCGGAGGCAGCCAUGCGGCGUGUAGGGAGAAGGCCUUCGGGUUGUAAAGUACUUUCAGCGGGGAGGCGUUACCCGCAGAAGAAGCACCGGCUAACUCCGUGCCAGCAGCCGCGGUAAUAC
Molecule: ribosomal RNA, 406 nt
Filed under: uncultured bacterium
Lineage: Bacteria
Description: partial 16S ribosomal RNA
Rfam family: Bacterial small subunit ribosomal RNA
Source: RNAcentral